Molecule: ribosomal RNA, 267 nt
Filed under: uncultured bacterium
Lineage: Bacteria
Description: partial 16S ribosomal RNA
Rfam family: Bacterial small subunit ribosomal RNA
Source: RNAcentral
UACGUAGGGGGCAAGCGUUGUCCGGAUUUAUUGGGCGUAAAGAGCUACGUAGGCGGUUCGAUAAGUCGGGGUGUGAAAUCUCCAGGCUCGAACCUGGAAGGCGCCACUCGAUACUGUCGUGACUUGAGUUCGGUAGAGGAGUAUGGAAUUCCCGGUGUAGCGGUGAAAUGCGCAGAUAGUCGGGAGGAACACCCGUAGCGAAGGCGGUACUCUGGGCCGAAACGACGCUGAGGAGCGAAAGCGUGGGAGCAAAACAGGAUAGAUACC